RNAcentral lists this unclassified non-coding RNA (263 nucleotides) under Trimorphomyces sakaeraticus. RNAcentral's name for it is "partial contains 5.8S ribosomal RNA, internal transcribed spacer 2, and large subunit ribosomal RNA". Lineage: Eukaryota; Fungi; Basidiomycota; Tremellomycetes; Tremellales; Trimorphomycetaceae. The record is from RNAcentral.
CGCACCUUGCACCCUCUGGUAUUCCGGAGGGUAUGCCUGUUCGAGUGUCAUGUAAUCAUCGACCGGGUCGGGAGACCGCUCGGCCGGAUCUGGGUGUUGCCGUUCUGGCUCGCCUCAAAUGCAUCAGCGAGGGGCUGGCUAUUUACUACGGCGAUUAGGUUACGUCGGAACGGAGUCGUCUCGCGCUCACAGUUCGCCCUCGGGCACGCCUUUUGGCACUUGACUUUGACCUCGGAUCAGGUAGGACUACCCGCUGAACUUAA